AAAGUAAUUGUGGUUUUUCCAUUACUUUCAGUGGCAAAAACUGCAAUUACUUUUGC
Molecule: microRNA precursor, 56 nt
Organism: Aotus nancymaae (Ma's night monkey)
Lineage: Eukaryota; Metazoa; Chordata; Mammalia; Primates; Aotidae
Source: Ensembl